This 480-nucleotide ribosomal RNA is filed under the name uncultured bacterium. RNAcentral's name for it is "partial 16S ribosomal RNA". It matches the Rfam family "Bacterial small subunit ribosomal RNA", at positions 28 to 507 of the family's 1533-position model. The record is from RNAcentral.
GAUGAACGCUAGCGGCAGGCCUAACACAUGCAAGUCGAGGGGUAGAAGGAGCUUGCUCCUUUGAGACCGGCGCACGGGUGCGUAACGCGUAUGCAAUCUACCUUGUACAGGGGAAUAGCCCAGAGAAAUUUGGAUUAAUGCCCCAUAGUAUAUAACCUUCGCAUGUUGGUUAUAUUAAAGUUCCAACGGUACAAGAUGAGCAUGCGUCCCAUUAGUUAGUUGGUAAGGUAACGGCUUACCAAGACGAUGAUGGGUAGGGGUCCUGAGAGGGAGAUCCCCCACACUGGUACUGAGACACGGACCAGACUCCUACGGGAGGCAGCAGUGAGGAAUAUUGGUCAAUGGUCGCAAGACUGAACCAGCCAUGCCGCGUGCAGGAAGACGGUCCUAUGGAUUGUAAACUGCUUUUAGACAGGAAGAAACCCUCCCACGUGUGGGAGCUUGACGGUACUGUAGGAAUAAGAAUCGGCUAACUCCGUG